Molecule: small nucleolar RNA, 121 nt
Filed under: Echinops telfairi (small Madagascar hedgehog)
Lineage: Eukaryota; Metazoa; Chordata; Mammalia; Afrosoricida; Tenrecidae
Description: Small nucleolar RNA SNORA61 (ENSETEG00000026401.1)
Source: RNAcentral
GUCCUCCUGAUCGCUUCCCUGUCAGACCUCAACACUGGUCUGAGUGGUUGUAAAGGAGGAAAAGGAAACUAGGAACUACCAAAUACUUUUGUGAUGCACAAGCUCGUCCAAACAAACAAAC